This 219-nucleotide ribosomal RNA is filed under the name uncultured Gammaproteobacteria bacterium. Its description in RNAcentral is "partial 16S ribosomal RNA". It matches the Rfam family "Bacterial small subunit ribosomal RNA", at positions 29 to 247 of the family's 1533-position model. The record is from RNAcentral. Lineage: Bacteria; Pseudomonadati; Pseudomonadota; Gammaproteobacteria.
AUUGACGCUGGCGGCAGGCCUAACACAUGCAAGUCGAGCGGUAACAGGGAUAGCUUGCUAUUCGCUGACGAGCGGCGGACGGGUGAGUAACGCGUAGGAAUCUGCCCGGUAGUGGGGAUAGCCCGGAGAAAUCCGGAUUAAUACCGCAUACGCCCUAAGGGGGAAAGCAGGGGAUCUUCGGACCUUGCGCUAUCGGAUGAGCCUGCGUCGGAUUAGCUU